CAGUUAAAGUCGAGGACGGAGCCCGGCUCAUGUAGGGGUCUGGGCGGAAUCUUCCUGUGGUCGAUUCUGCUGAGGAUUUCGACUGUGGGUAUUUUUAUAUCCAACACCAGUCCCCCUACUUCCGAGUUUGAAUCUCAAACGAAGGAAGUACAGAGAGAGAGAUGGGCACAGCCGAAGCCGUCCCCUCGAAUCUUGCGCACCACCGCCCCC
Molecule: long non-coding RNA, 210 nt
Filed under: Elaeis guineensis (African oil palm)
Lineage: Eukaryota; Viridiplantae; Streptophyta; Magnoliopsida; Arecales; Arecaceae
Description: long non-coding RNA (EGUI_LNC076537)
Source: RNAcentral